Molecule: ribosomal RNA, 492 nt
Filed under: uncultured bacterium
Lineage: Bacteria
Description: partial 16S ribosomal RNA
Rfam family: Bacterial small subunit ribosomal RNA
Source: RNAcentral
AGUGAACGCUGGCGGUAGGCCUAACACAUGCAAGUCGAACGGCAGCACAGUAAGAGCUUGCUCUUACGGGUGGCGAGUGGCGGACGGGUGAGGAAUACAUCGGAAUCUACUUUUUCGUGGGGGAUAACGUAGGGAAACUUACGCUAAUACCGCAUACGACCUACGGGUAAAAGCGGGGGAUCUUCGGACCUUGCGCGAUUGAAUGAGCCGAUGUCGGAUUAGCUAGUUGGCGGGGUAAAGGCCCACCAAGGCGACGAUCCGUAGCUGGUCUGAGAGGAUGAUCAGCCACACUGGAACUGAGACACGGUCCAGACUCCUACGGGAGGCAGCAGUGGGGAAUAUUGGACAAUGGGCGCAAGCCUGAUCCAGCCAUACCGCGUGGGUGAAGAAGGCCUUCGGGUUGUAAAGCCCUUUUGUUGGGAAAGAAAAGCAGCAGGUUAAUACCCCGCUGUUCUGACGGUACCCAAAGAAUAAGCACCGGCUAACUUCGUG